UGGGUGCUUGCAUCAUGAUUUACAUUUGAGUGAGUGGCGAACUGGUGAGUAACACGUGGGAAACCUGCCCAGAAGCGGGGGAUAACACCUGGAAACAGAUGCUAAUACCGCAUAACAACUUGGACCGCAUGGUCCGAGCUUGAAAGAUGGCUUCGGCUAUCACUUUUGGAUGGUCCCGCGGCGUAUUAGCUAGAUGGUGGGGUAACGGCUCACCAUGGCAAUGAUACGUAGCCGACCUGAGAGGGUAAUCGGCCACAUUGGGACUGAGACACGGCCCAAACUCCUACGGGAGGCAGCAGUAGGGAAUCUUCCACAAUGGACGAAAGUCUGAUGGAGCAACGCCGCGUGAGUGAAGAAGGGUUUCGGCUCGUAAAACUCUGUUGUUAAAGAAGAACAUAUCUGAGAGUAACUGUUCAGGUAUUGACGGUAUUUAACCAGAAAGCCACGGCUAACUACGUGCCAGCAGCCGCGGUAAUACGUAGGUGGCAAGCGUUGUCCGGAUUUAUUGGGCGUAAAGCGAGCGCAGGCGGUUUUUUAAGUCUGAUGUGAAAGCCUUCGGCUCAACCGAAGAAGUGCAUCGGAAACUGGGAAACUUGAGUGCAGAAGAGGACAGUGGAACUCCAUGUGUAGCGGUGAAAUGCGUAGAUAUAUGGAAGAACACCAGUGGCGAAGGCGGCUGUCUGGUCUGUAACUGACGCUGAGGCUCGAAAGUAUGGGUAGCAAACAGGAUUAGAUACCCUGGUAGUCCAUACCGUAAACGAUGAAUGCUAAGUGUUGGAGGGUUUCCGCCCUUCAGUGCUGCAGCUAACGCAUUAAGCAUUCCGCCUGGGGAGUACGGCCGCAAGGCUGAAACUCAAAGGAAUUGACGGGGGCCCGCACAAGCGGUGGAGCAUGUGGUUUAAUUCGAAGCUACGCGAAGAACCUUACCAGGUCUUGACAUACUAUGCAAAUCUAAGAGAUUAGACGUUCCCUUCGGGGACAUGGAUACAGGUGGUGCAUGGUUGUCGUCAGCUCGUGUCGUGAGAUGUUGGGUUAAGUCCCGCAACGAGCGCAACCCUUAUUAUCAGUUGCCAGCAUUAAGUUGGGGCCACUCUGGGUGAGACUGC
This 1106-nucleotide ribosomal RNA is filed under the name Lactiplantibacillus plantarum. Its description in RNAcentral is "bacterial SSU rRNA". It matches the Rfam family "Bacterial small subunit ribosomal RNA", at positions 73 to 1152 of the family's 1533-position model. The record is from RNAcentral. Lineage: Bacteria; Bacillati; Bacillota; Bacilli; Lactobacillales; Lactobacillaceae.